This 299-nucleotide signal recognition particle RNA is filed under the name Saimiri boliviensis boliviensis (Bolivian squirrel monkey). Its description in RNAcentral is "Metazoan signal recognition particle RNA (ENSSBOG00000008651.1)". It matches the Rfam family "Metazoan signal recognition particle RNA". From Rfam's summary of the family: The signal recognition particle (SRP) is a universally conserved ribonucleoprotein. It is involved in the co-translational targeting of proteins to membranes. The eukaryotic SRP consists of a 300-nucleotide 7S RNA and six proteins: SRPs 72, 68, 54, 19, 14, and 9. Lineage: Eukaryota; Metazoa; Chordata; Mammalia; Primates; Cebidae. The record is from RNAcentral.
GCCGGGCACGGUGGUGCAUGCCUGUAGUCCCAGCUACUCAGGAGGCUGAGGUGGGAAGAUCACUUGAGCCCAGGAGUUCUGGGCUGUAGUGCGCUUUGCCAAUCGGGUGUCCUCACUAAGUUUGGCGUCAAUAUAGUGACCUCCCAGGAGUGGGGGACCACCAGGUUGCCUAAGGAGGGGUGAACUGGCCCAGGUCAGAAACGGAGCAGGUCAAAACUCUUGUGCUGAUCAGUAGUGGGAUCACACCUGUGAAUAGCCACUGCACUCCAGCCUGGGCAACAUAGCGAGACCCUGUCUCU